This 103-nucleotide microRNA precursor is filed under the name Marmota monax (woodchuck). The record is from RNAcentral. Lineage: Eukaryota; Metazoa; Chordata; Mammalia; Rodentia; Sciuridae.
AGUGGGAUAGCUGGGUCAAAUGGUGGUUUCAUUCCUAGUUUUCCAAGGAAUCUCCAUACUGCUUUCCAUAUUGGCAACACCAAUUUGAAGUCCCAGGAGCAAU